CCUCCUUCCACCGCUGCAGGAAGUGAGCUAGCACCGGUUUCGCUCACCCUGCUCCACCAUUGCCUGCAAUCUGCAUUGCAAGUAAUGUUCACAUCUUUUUCUUGCUCUGGGGAUUUUCUUUAGCAGACUUGGCCUUCUUCUCUCACACACUCUCUCUCUCUGAGCUUUUCUCCUCUUCACACGAAGCACUAGCAGCGCUCCGACUACCUCCGCCGCUCGUCCAGCUGUAUCACUGCACUCUGUCUGCAUUCCAGGUACUGAACGCCUCUUUGUUUCUCUGUUUCUUUUUUUUCUUUUUUCUUUUUUCCGCAGAUACUGUUUCAGCAGACCUCUGCAAAAACAAGCUGAAGUAAACCCCCACCACUGCCUCUCAAGAGUAUCCACCGACACCAGAAAUCUACUUCCCAGGCCAUUCUCCUUUCUGACAUUAUCCGUUGAACUGGUGGGAAGAUCAUCAUCACAGGACCAAGAAAAUCAGACCAUGGAGGGAGAUGGUGCUAAAAAGUUUGAGGUGGAGGACAAA
Molecule: long non-coding RNA, 523 nt
Organism: Nymphaea colorata (pocket water lily)
Lineage: Eukaryota; Viridiplantae; Streptophyta; Magnoliopsida; Nymphaeales; Nymphaeaceae
Exons: 3
Source: RefSeq, a predicted model, not a curated record